GAUGAACGCUGGCGGCGUGCCUAAUACAUGCAAGUCGAGCGAACAGACGAGGAGCUUGCUCCUCUGACGUUAGCGGCGGACGGGUGAGUAACACGUGGAUAACCUACCUAUAAGACUGGGAUAACUUCGGGAAGCCGGAGCUAAUACCGGAUAAUAUAUUGAACCGCAUGGUUCAAUAGUGAAAGACGGUUUUGCUGUCACUUAUAGAUGGAUCCGCGCCGCAUUAGCUAGUUGGUAAGGUAACGGCUUACCAAGGCAACGAUGCGUAGCCGACCUGAGAGGGUGAUCGGCCACACUGGAACUGAGACACGGUCCAGACUCCUACGGGAGGCAGCAGUAGGGAAUCGUCCGCAAUGGGGUAAAACUUGACGGAGCAACGCCGCGUGAGUGAUGAAGGUCUUCGGAUCGUAAAACUCUGUUAUUAGGGAAGAACAAAUGUGUAAGUAACUAUGCACGUCUUGACGGUACCUAAUCAGAAAGCCACGGCUAACUACGUG
This 497-nucleotide ribosomal RNA is filed under the name uncultured bacterium. RNAcentral's name for it is "partial 16S ribosomal RNA". It matches the Rfam family "Bacterial small subunit ribosomal RNA", at positions 28 to 507 of the family's 1533-position model. The record is from RNAcentral.